Molecule: long non-coding RNA, 5423 nt
Filed under: Mytilus galloprovincialis (Mediterranean mussel)
Lineage: Eukaryota; Metazoa; Mollusca; Bivalvia; Mytilida; Mytilidae
Source: RNAcentral
CAAAUAUUUUAUAGAGGUGAGAUUAUAAUAUAUUAUUUGUUGUUGUUAUUGUUGUUUGUCAUUUCUAAUUGUUUCAAAUUUGAGUAUAUAGGUAGUAUUUUAGCAAAGGUGAGAGCCAAGAAAAAAGGAAAUAUUGCAGGAGGUAGAUCAGUACCCAUCACAUUCCACUAACCAUUGCAUCAAAAGACAGAAAAAGGCUGAUGAGCUAAAUAAAGCAGAGUUGUUGGAUCGUCAUAGGUAAAUAAACAUAUACAUGUCAGGGUAAAUCUGAAAAUAACGUAUGAAAGAAUUUUAAAAAGUACAAAAUUAUAUAGUUUAGUGGUGAAAUCACUAUAGCAGAGCAAGUAUAUAAGUACCGAUCAAAUCACCAGUUCAUUCAGCAAGGCAAACAUUGAUGAAAUUAAUUCAAUGCUAGAAAUUCUUCAAAUACCAAAUUCUAAUUAAUCUUAAUGAAAACAAUGUAUAUUCACACCUUUAAAAUCUGUUUUUGUGCUUGUAUGCUAAUUUUAGACAGUUAAUUGUGAACAUAUAUGCCAUGAAAAUUUGUGACAUUAUCCAAUCCAAAUAAAUGCAAAAUUAAGAAAUAAUUUCUAUCAUGUCAUGCUCUAUGCUCAUUUUAACAUGGGUAGGCAUUAUAUUUGUUGAUAUUUUACACUGAACGUUUGCAAGGUAUAAAAUGUGGUCAAAUAUAAUGUCUAAUCAUGUUAAAAUGAGCAUAGAGCAUGACAUGAUAGAAAUUAUUUCUUAAUUUUGUAUUUAUUUCUGACUUGAUAUAUCAACAAACUUGUUUUGUGGGUUUUCUUUACAAUUUUUCUUAAAUUGUAAGAAUUCUUUAUUCAGAUUCCUAAUCUAUGGCAAAUGUGACGUUUGUGUAAUGUGACGUUACAAACGUCAAACAAAUCAAUCUAUGGCAGGUUUUUAUUUUCUCCAAAUCUAUGGCAGAUCUUUUUCAUAACGUCACAAUUGAAUAACGCCAAAUUACAUUGUUGAUGGCAGAACCCAAAGAUUUCUUCCAACUGAAGGUAUUUCCCUAGACAACGAUUUGCGGAUGGUUUAAAGGGAGAUGGUUUAUCCCAAAGAGGGACAAAAUGUGCUGAAUAAGGACACUGCUGAUUUCAGUAUCAGAUGUUUUAGAAAAGGAUUUAUAUUAAAUAUUUUACGGCUAGCAAAGUUUAUAAAGUGAAGAUCAAAUUACCGAUACUAGUCUGAUUUAAAAAAUUGUCAUAAGGUAAAAAAAAAGUAUUAACAAUGAAAUCAGUAACAUUACUAGUAUAGAAAGUCCCUGCAUUAUGUGAAAAUUCAAACUGUUCUUUUUUAUUUGUCUUUUUUAUAUAAAAACCUGCCUUCUUGGUUGAUAAGGGACUUAAGUUUGUUUUAAGUUCUAUGAAUUUAUUAUACCCCCGCUUUAAAUUAUACCCCCGCUUUAAAAAAGGGGGGGUAUACUGUUUUACCUCUGUCUUUAUACCCCGCUUAAAAAAGGGGGUAUACUGUUUUACUCUGUCUGUCAGUCCGUCCGUCAGUCCGUCAGUCAGUCCGUCCCAUGAAACUUUCGUCACAUUUUUCUCAGGAACUACACAUCCACCUUUUCUGUAAUUUGGUAUCAACAUUUAUAUAUGUCAGCCAUACCGUGUGAUGCGUUUUCAGAUUCAUCACUUGACAACUUCCUGUUUACCGAACACUUGUCUGAUUUUACACAUGAUAGCCAAGUUGAAAAUUUUCGUCACAUUUUUCUCAGGAACUACAAUACAAGGAUUUCUGAAAUUUGGUUUCAGGAUUUAUAUAAGUCAGCUAUACCGUGUGAUGUGUUUUCAGAUUCAUCACUCGACAACUUCCUGUUUACCGAACACUUGUAUGAUUUUACACAUGAUAGCCAAGUUGAAAAUUUUCGUCACAUUUUUCUCAGGAACUACAAUACAAGGAUUUCUGAAAUUUGGUUUCAGGAUUUAUAUAAGUCAGCUAUACCGUGUGAUGCGUUUUCAGAUUCAUCACUCGACUACUUCCUGUUUACCGAACACUUGUAUGAUUUUACACAUGAUAACCAAGUUAAAAAUUUUCGUCACAUUUUUCUCAGGAACUACAAUACAAGGAUUUCUGAAAUUUGGUUUCAGGAUUUUUAUAAGUCAGCUAUACCGUGUGAUGCGUUUUCAGAUUCAUCACUCGACAACUUCCUGUUUACCGAACACUUGCAUAUUUUUACACUAUUAAUAUUAUCCACUUGCGGCGGGGGAUAUCAUCAGUGAGCAGUAGCUCGCAGUUUCACUUGUUAUUAUUAAAAUGUUCUGGUUGACCAUUAUGGAAUGUUUAUUUCACAAAAGUUUAUAGGCAUGAUCCCGUUGUCGUACAUAGAUAUAGGAAGAUGUGGUAUGAGUGCCAAUAAGACAAUUCUCCAUCCAAGUCAAAAUUUAUAAAAGUAAUCCAUAAUAGGUCAAGCUUAAAACCAAGGGUCUAAUCUAUAUCAAAACGAGAAACGAGAAGUCCACUUGUUAAAGACAAGUCAUUGGCUGUAUAUGUACUGCAUUGUUUUCCUUUUGCACAACAUUUGCCAUAGAUUUGGAAACAACAAAAAUCCGCCAUAAAUUAGGAAAUUACAAAAUUUGCCAUAGAUUAGGAUUGUAAAAAAAUUGCCAUAGAUUUGGGAUAGCAUGACAUCACAUUUGACAUAGAUUAGGAAUCUGCCAUAGAUUUGGAACCCACCAUAGAUUUGAGUCCUACAUAUAUCAUAUAUAAAAAUAUAUUUUAUCGAUUUUGUUCAAAUUAUAUACCUUUAUUUGCCACUUUCUGAUGGUUUCGUUUAACGAUAAAUGUUUAACAGUUGUUAUUAUUACAUUUUAGGUCAAAGAUCUGUAAAACGAAGCCCUGAUGGAAAAAAUUAAAAAAUACAGAGGCAGAACAAAAAAUGGUGAAAAAUUAAGAAUAGGAGAUGUAAUUUAUUAAUGAUCAAGUAAGUAUUCACUGAAAACAGUUAUGUGUUUUAACUUUUUUAUAAAAAUCUGAAAUAUUCAGUUUGGUUGUUUAGAUUUAUAUUAAAUGAAAACAAGACUAUAUAGCAGUCAGCAUACUAUAUAUAGAAAACUAAAGGCUGCAGAGUCAAUCCCAAACAACAAUAAAAAUGAGGUGAUUUCUAAUGCUCCAGAAGGGUAAUCAAUUACUGCCCUAUUUUGGCAACUGUCUUCUUGCUCCACAUUUGUACUAGUAUUGUAAUGGUAUUUGUAUGGUUUGAUGGUUUCAUUUGAUGAAAAAAGAAUUAAGUUUAAUAGAUAAGAAAACUACAAACAUUUAUAAGUCUUUGCUUUGCACAAGAUAGACAAAUUUAUGAACAUAAAAAAUCCUAUCUUAGUCGAAAAAAAUCUUUUGUCUAAGAUUAAUAUUUUCAAAAAUGAAGAAUCGUACAGGGAAAAGUACCUAAGGGAGCUACCAUUUGAUUUUUAUGGGGGGGCUAGGAUGAAAUUUGAAAAAAAUAGGCAGGACAGGAGUUUUGAGUAAAAAAAAAGGCAGGAUGAGACACUUGCAAAAAAAAAAAAGUCAGGACGACAAUUUAGGUAAAAAAAAGGCAGGACCGAACAGAGUGAAAAAUAAAAAGGCAGGACAGAGAUUACAGCUAAAAAAAAAUUCAGGACAAAAUUUUUCAUCCUAGCCCCCCCAUAAAAAUCAAAUGGUAGCGCCCUAAUAUAGAUUUAUGUUUUGGUUUUUUUUGCUGGUCAAACUUGGUAAAAUAAUAAAUGUUUCUACUACACUGGUAAACAUUUCAAGAAUGGUUAAAUUAGAUGAUGAAGAUAGAGUAUUUAAUUGUUAUAAACUACGUGAAUCAUCUGAUGAAUGAUCUCUUUCAAUUGACGAUGUGCAUGGUUUUGUGCAUGUUGUGCAUGAUUGUGGUCAUUGCCGAUGUUGUGUUAUAAUGGCAAGGAAUGAUAGAAAAAUUACCAGGGUUUAUCAUCCUGUUUUUUUAUACUAACCCAAAAAAAAUUCGGGAUUGUAUAAUGGUAUGAUGUCGUCGUCUGCGUCGUCUUCAUCGUCUGCGUUGUCCUCGUCCGAAGACACAUUGGUUUCCGGAUAAUAACUUUAGUUUAAGUAAAUAGAUUUUCAUGAAAUUUUUUCAGAAGGUUCAAUACCACAAAAGAAAGGUUGAGAUUGAUUAUGGGGAUGAUGGUCCUAAAUGAUUAGGAAUUAAGGGCCCAAAAGGAACCCAAAACAAGCAUUUUUCUAGUUUCAGUAUAAUAACUUGUGUAGAAGUAUUUCAAUUGCUCUGAAAUCAUACCACAAUGUAUCAUAUAACAAUGGGGAGGCUUGGAUUAAGUUUUGGGUUAAUUGCCCAAAAUAUGUAGGAAUUAGGGGCCUAAAAAGGGCCAAAAAGAAGCAUGUUUCUAGUUUCCAAACAAUCAUGACAAUAACUUUUGUUUAAGUGUAUGGAUCUCUCUGAAAUUGUACUACAAGGUUCAAUACUGCAAUGGAAAGCAUGGGAUUGAGUUUAAGGGUUAUUGCUCCAAGGAGGUCUCAAAAAGUUGGGGGGGGGGGGAUUUUUUGUUUACCAAUUUUUGAAGAGCUUCCUUUUUUUCAAAAUUUUUCAAAUUUCGAAUUUUGAAAAGUUUCAAGAAGAAAUCUUCUAUUGCACAGUAUUGUGCAAUAGAUUUGUGAGAUCUUUGAUCACAUUAAUUUUGUGACAAAAACUUUAUAAUGUCAAAAACUUGAUCACAAUCCAAAUUCAGACAGAAUCAAGCUUAUAUAUUGUGACAAAAUUUGCCCCAACUGUUCAGGGUUCAACCACUGGGGUCGUAUAUAGCUGUGCCCUGUGGUUAAUUAAUAAGUUUAAAAUGAAUUUCAACCAUAAAUUGUGAUAAUUUUUUAUUCUUUUUUUUCUGUUGUAUAGCAUAUUUUUGGUUGAUAGAGAAUUGUUUACCAAUAAUAACUAUCAAAAAUAUUCAUGUUCCGUUUGUAUUUUUUCCAUAAUUGUUUCAAAAUUUAAUUGUGUUAAUUUCUUUCUUUUUAUGAGAUCUCAACUCUUGCUGAAACUUGACGACAAGAUAAGAAGCCAAGAUCAACAAUACUUUGGAACUACAUCAACACGUAUAAUCAGAGUAAUGUAUUAGUGUCAGACUCCAUAUGAGAACCAAUCUACACUUGGUGUCUACAUGUAUAUGCAAUGUGUUGUCAGAAUCCAGGCACUUAAGAAGCCAAAGAUCAAUUUUAAUUUGGAACUGUAUGCUUUAGUGCUGGCAAAAUCCAUAAAAAAAUCCCAAGAUCACAAAAGAACCUACUUUAUCUACCUGUCACAAUGAUGAAUACAGAUUAUUGAUUCUUGUAAAAAAAAACAAUGAAGAAGAAUAUUGAUAUAAAAAAUAAUGAAAAAUAAGGAUUGUAUUAUAAUGUACAUGAUAUAUACAUGUCAACAAUUACUAGUAUAUUGAAAAUAAAAAUGUUAAUAAACG